UAAGUAGAAGUGAAGCACACGGCUCAACCGUGUAAACAUCUUCUAAACUGGUUAACUAGAGGGCGAGAGAGGUUAUUGGAAUUUCUUGUGUAGGAGUGAAAUCCGUAGAUAUAAGAAGGAACACCGAUGGCGUAGGCAGAUAACUGGCUCGCACCUGACACUAAGGCACGAAAGCGUGGGUAGCAAACGGGAUUAGAUACCCCGGUAGUCCACGCUGUAAACGAUGGAUGCUA
This 233-nucleotide ribosomal RNA is filed under the name uncultured Candidatus Saccharibacteria bacterium. RNAcentral describes it as "partial 16S ribosomal RNA". It matches the Rfam family "Bacterial small subunit ribosomal RNA", at positions 584 to 818 of the family's 1533-position model. Lineage: Bacteria; Candidatus Saccharimonadota. The record is from RNAcentral.